Molecule: ribosomal RNA, 496 nt
Filed under: uncultured bacterium
Lineage: Bacteria
Description: partial 16S ribosomal RNA
Rfam family: Bacterial small subunit ribosomal RNA
Source: RNAcentral
AUAAACGCUGGCGGCGUGCCUAAUACAUGCAAGUCGAGCGAACAGACGAGGAGCUUGCUCCUCUGACGUUAGCGGCGGACGGGUGAGUAACACGUGGAUAACCUACCUAUAAGACUGGGAUAACUUCGGGAAACCGGAGCUAAUACCGGAUAAUAUAUUGAACCGCAUGGUUCAAUAGUGAAAGACGGUUUUGCUGUCACUUAUAGAUGGAUCCGCGCCGCAUUAGCUAGUUGGUAAGGUAACGGCUUACCAAGGCAACGAUGCGUAGCCGACCUGAGAGGGUGAUCGGCCACACUGGAACUGAGACACGGUCCAGACUCCUACGGGAGGCAGCAGUAGGGAAUCUUCCGCAAUGGGCGAAAGCUUGACGGAGCAACGCCGCGUGAGUGAUGAAGGUCUUCGGAUCGUAAAACUCUGUUAUUAGGGAAGAACAAAUGUGUAAGUAACUAUGCACGUCUUGACGGUACCUAAUCAGAAAGCCACGGCUAACUACGUG